AAGGGAACGGGCUUGGCAGA
This 20-nucleotide non-coding RNA is filed under the name Arabidopsis thaliana (thale cress). Lineage: Eukaryota; Viridiplantae; Streptophyta; Magnoliopsida; Brassicales; Brassicaceae. The record is from RNAcentral. RNAcentral also lists the same sequence under 1 other name.